UACGUAGGCAGCAAGCGUUGUUCGGAGUUACUGGGCGUAAAGGGUGCGUAGGCGGCCCUGUAAGUAUGGUGUGAAAUCUCCCGGCUUAACUGGGAGGGUGCGCUAUAGACUGCGGGGCUCGAGUGUGGGAGAGGAAAGUGGAAUUCCUGGUGUAGCGGUGAAAUGCGUAGAUAUCAGGAGGAACACCGGUGGCGAAGGCGGAUCUCUGGGCCAUUACUGACGCUGAGGAGCGAAAGCGUGGGGAGCGAACAGG
Molecule: ribosomal RNA, 253 nt
Filed under: uncultured bacterium
Lineage: Bacteria
Description: partial 16S ribosomal RNA
Rfam family: Bacterial small subunit ribosomal RNA
Source: RNAcentral